GACGAACGCUGGCGGCGUGCUUAACACAUGCAAGUCGAACGGUAAGGCCCUUCGGGGUACACGAGUGGCAAACGGGUGAGUAACACGUGGGUGAUCUGCCCUGCACUUCGGGAUAAGCCUGGGAAACUGGGUCUAAUACCGGAUAGGACCCUGGGAUGCAUGUCCUGGGGUGGAAAGCUUUUGCGGUGUGGGAUGGGCCCGCGGCCUAUCAGCUUGUUGGUGGGGUGAUGGCCUACCAGGGCGACGACGGGUAGCCGGCUUGGGAGGGGGACCGGCCACAAUGGGACUGAGAUACGGCCCAGACUCCUACGGGAGGCAGCAGUGGGGAAUAUUGCACAAUGGGCGCAAGCCUGAUGCAGCGACGCCGCGUGAGGGAUGACGGCCUUCGGGUUGUAAACCUCUUUCAGCACCGACGAAGCGCAAGUGACGGUAGGUGCAGAAGAAGGACCGGCCAACUACGUGCCAGCCGCCGCGGUAA
RNAcentral lists this ribosomal RNA (478 nucleotides) under uncultured bacterium. Its description in RNAcentral is "partial 16S ribosomal RNA". It matches the Rfam family "Bacterial small subunit ribosomal RNA", at positions 28 to 523 of the family's 1533-position model. The record is from RNAcentral.